Mesocricetus auratus (golden hamster) is the source of this 164-nucleotide small nuclear RNA. Its record names the gene U1. It matches the Rfam family "U1 spliceosomal RNA". Rfam says of the family: U1 is a small nuclear RNA (snRNA) component of the spliceosome (involved in pre-mRNA splicing). The record is from Ensembl. Lineage: Eukaryota; Metazoa; Chordata; Mammalia; Rodentia; Cricetidae.
GUACUUACCCGGCAGGGGGGAUACCGUGAUCACAAAGGCGGUUUUCCCAGGGCAGGGUUUAUCCAUUACAUUCGGGAUGUGCUGACCCCUGAGGUUUCCCCAAACGCGGGAAACUCGACCGCAUAAUUUGUGGUAGUGGGGGAUUUCGUGCGUGCUCACUCCAG